Molecule: long non-coding RNA, 1264 nt
Organism: Pygocentrus nattereri (red-bellied piranha)
Lineage: Eukaryota; Metazoa; Chordata; Actinopteri; Characiformes; Serrasalmidae
Exons: 4
Source: RefSeq, a predicted model, not a curated record
UACUGGAAACAGCCCUCCAGGGAGCAUUUAAUAACCGCAUAACUCAGUGAAGACGCGCUGCUCGCAUUCCAUUACUCACACUCACGCACACAGGAGAUGGAAACCGUAGUAAACGUCUCAACAACAUGAUACAACAACUGGCAGAGAGCUGUGUGUCCCUGGUGAUUUACACUUUUGGGCUAAUGAGAGAUGUUUAAAGAAGAGGAGAUGAAGAACAACUUCUUUCUCUUCCUGAAACCUCACAUCAAAACAAAAGCUCAACUGAGAAACCAAAAAGAUGAUUAAAUGAGAAUGCAGUGCUAGUGCGUCCUCAUUGACCUCCAGCCUGGAGCGGCACAUAGGCUUACACCAGUCCCAGCUGUAGGAAAUGACUGUGCAAUGCUGAGCAGAGGUGGGGCGGCUGGAGAGGGGGCUUCCGAAGUGAGAGAGCGAGAGAGACAGAGAGACCGAGAAAGAGAGAGAGACAGGGGGAGAGAGAGAGAGAGACGCCUCUGGGGACUGGAGAGAUGAGAGUUUUCCUGCUUUACAGGCUUUCUGGCUCCCCAUCAGUCACAUUUGGGCUCUUGAUGAUCAGUGUGUUGGGAGCUGGAACUGAACAACAAAGCAGACAUGCUGAGAGCCCUCAUGAGCUCUGGACAUCUAGGCACUUGGGUACCAAGCUGCACCUGCAGCAGACAAUAAUAAACAGCACAGCAGGUGGCAUCAUCUAUGUGUACAGACAGGAGUUCAGCCUGAAAUACAUCCAGUACAUCUAGUACUCAUUUACACUGUAUUACUUCCAGGGCUCAGAAAUGGAACAAAAAAAAAGUGAGUUUGGUGAGCCAUACCAACAUUUUACUAUUUCUUGGUUACCAUUGAUUAAUCUAAACACUCUGUCCAAUGACAGGCUGGUUUCUUUUUUCUUUUUCUCAACAUUCAAUAUAAUUUUAUAUUAUAUUACCUGUAAAAUCUUUUCCUCUGUUCCUAUUGCUUGUGUUAGUGUUUGCUAUCUGGUGUCGCCCAGAGGAGGAUGGAUUCCCCUUUUGAGUCUGGGUUCCUCUCAAGAUUUCUUCCUCUUGAUCUUAGGAAGCUUUUUCUUGAGGCUUGCUCAUUGGGGCUCGGACUUUUUUGUGACAACACCUGUAGCAGAACCACUAUUUAAAUAAACUUUGACUUGACUCUUGUGUUCCAACAGCCACAUAACUUCAGGUUAGUUAUGGGUGUUACGAUCAAAACAAGAUCAAGACAUAGCAAAUUCCCCAUUUUAGAAUGCGUAACCACACUA